RNAcentral lists this long non-coding RNA (426 nucleotides) under Zalophus californianus (California sea lion). RNAcentral's name for it is "lncRNA (ENSZCAG00015020811.1)". Lineage: Eukaryota; Metazoa; Chordata; Mammalia; Carnivora; Otariidae. The record is from RNAcentral.
GUACCAUUUGUUUCCCAUUCUGGCUAACGUUUAAUCUUCCAGGGAAUUGUGGCUGCCUCUGGUGCCAGAAGAAUUAACGAGUUUGCACAGUUUUAAGAACAAAGCCUUUAAGAAACCCAAGGUCUGUGGGGUUUGCAAGCAGAUUAUUGACAGCCAAGGGAUUUCAUGCCGAGCCUGCAGGUACUGCUACCACAAGCCAUGUGAACCUAAGGUGGGCACCUCUGCCACGAGAGCCUACGGCGUCCUCAGAAACCGCCACGGACGCGGGUCCUGGUGACAGCCGACGCCCGCCGGCGUAAGUGAGGAGUUGUAGCCAGGAGCUUACGUCUGCUGGUUCCCCUGCAUCUCCAGACACAGCUGUCUUCCCCACCGUGUCCCAGGUGUGGUCCGUCGGCCCCUCCCCGCAUCGGUCCAGCAAACGGGGAC